Non-coding RNA from Rattus norvegicus (Norway rat), 9155 nucleotides. The record is from RefSeq and is a predicted model, not a curated record. Lineage: Eukaryota; Metazoa; Chordata; Mammalia; Rodentia; Muridae.
AUACAUAUAUAUAUAUGAAUUUAUUAAGCCAUUUCACACUGGAAUAGUGACAUCAGCUGCUUCACACCCUAGAGGCUGCAAACCUAAAGGAUGCUCACUCCUUGAGGCUGGGUGACUUGACACCUGGAAGGUUCCUAGGGAUAUGCCGGUCCUUAGUGACAGUUGCCUGGAGAUGCUGGUCCUUAGUUAUGGCAGCAUGGAGAUGCUGGUUGUAAUGUCAGUGAAGGAAUCGGCAGCAGUGGUGGCGGCGGUGGCGGCAGCAGCAGCAGCAAGAGAAAUCAACUCCUUUCAAGAGAAAAGGCCAAGCAACCAAAGGUUGAACAAUCUUCCUCUUGCUGUGCCCUUUUUGAAUCUGGAGUGCUACCAGAAGCUCCAUGCAUAUUUGGGGUGGGACUUCCACAUCUGCUAAAGUAAUAAGGACUAUUUCUCAGGUGAGGCUCCCUACUCAAGUGAUUCUAAUUUGUGGCAGGUUGAUAUUAAAACUGACCAUCACAGAGAGAAGAGACAGCUCGCAGUUUGUGUCUUCUAUCAAGACAGGUGAGACAGAUAACUCAUUGCCAAACUGAGGUAUUCCAAGGGGAGCAUAGAGGUUGAGGGGCACAUUGGAUAGUACUAGGGUACAACUAGACAAAUCUUUUUUUUUUCCUUCGGAGCUGGGGACCGAAUCCAGGGCCUUGUGCUCCCUAGGCAAGGGCUUUACCGCUGAGCUAAAUCCCCAACCCCACAACUAGACAAAUCUUGAUCAUGUGAAGAGACUAGCUUUAAGAUGCUGUGUGAAGACAAGGAACAAUGGACGGAAUAGACAAGUAGUUCCUUGGCAGAGAGUUUGGACAAAAACCUAGAAGUAAGAAAUAAAUCAUGGGGCUGGAGAGAUGUCUCAGUGAUCCUGAGUUCAAAUCCUAGCAACCACAUGGUGGCUCACAGCCAUCUGUAAUGAGAUCUCAUGCCCUCUUCUGGUGUGUCCGAAGACAGCUACAGUGUACUGACAUAUAAUAAAUAAAUAAAUCUUUUUUAAAAAUUAAAAGAAAUCAUGGCCAGGCAGUGGUAUCACAUGCUUUUAAUCCCAGCACUUAGGAGGCAAAGGCAGGCAAAUCUUUGUGUGUUUUGGAGGCCAGCCUGGUCUACAGAACAAGUUCCAGCAGGCAGAGCUGUUACACACACACACACACACACACACACACACACACACACACACAAAACAAAAAAUAUCAUUAGAGAUACAGUCAUCAAGGAAGACCUAAUAAUUCGUGGGUGGGGAUGGGGGUCUGGAGACACGCCUCAUCAGCUAGAGCACUGAUUGCUUGUACUAGGAGUCGCAGUCCUAGGUUCUAAUCCCAGCACUCAGAUGGUGGCUCACAACUGUCUGUAACUCCAAUUCCAAUUCCAGCGAAUCCGAUUCCCUCUUCCAGACUCUGCAGGCACCCCUUGUGCAUGUGGUGCACAGACAUGCAGGCAGGCAAAACACCAAGUCACAUAAAACAAAAUUAAAAAAAUUUAAAUCGUCUUUUUAUUUUGAUAGUCUCACAUAGGGCAGGCUUGCCUUGGACUUGCUCUGUAACGGAAGCUGCCCUGGACUCCUGAAGUCUUGGCCUUCACCUCCCAGGUGCACAGACAACAGGCGCACGCCCCUUAAACCUUCCUCUUUCUUCCUCUUUCAGAUUUGUUUCAUGUGUAUGGAUGCUUUGCCUGCACAUACAUGUGUACUGCAUGUGAGCCUGGUGCCUACAGAGGGCAGAAGAAGGAGUCAGUUCCCCUGAACUUGGAGUUACAGAUGGUUGUCACAGGGCCAGCAUGUGGGUGCUGGGAACCGAUCCCAGAUUAUUUGUAAGAGUAACGAGGCCGUUCCUUGACUUCCACAGGCUUCAGCAGCUCCUUUCUGUCUAGAGAGUGCAUUCCUUAUAUCAGACUCAGGAGGCGACACCAGAGCUCCGUGGUGUGUCUUUCUGCUAUGAAGCAGUUCUUCUCCAGAACAUACCAGCUGAGUCCUGCAGAUGCCCCCAUGUGCCUCCAGCACGUUGUGACCAGAAGCUGAGGAACGACCGAACCCAGGGCCUUGCGCUUGCUAGACAAACUCUCUACCACUGAACUAAAUCCCCAACCCCUGCCUCCAGAUUUUUUUUUUAGAUAUUAUUUAUUUAUUUUAUGUUAUGAGUACACUGUAGGUGUCUUCGGAUGCACCAGAAGAGGGCAUCAGAUCUCAUUACAGAUGGUUGUGAGCCACCAUGUGGUUGCUGGGAAUUGAACUCAGGAUCUCUGGAAGAGCAGUCAGUGCUCUUAACCACUGAGCCAUCUCUCCAGCCCCCUGCCUCCAGAUUUUUAUAGAAAAAAAAUAAUACCAUAACCAAACACAAUCGUCCCUUUACAAUACUAAAAAAAAAAAUAGUUAAGACAUGUGUCCAGAACCAGCAUCACGAAGGGUUCUAAGUAAUGAAGUUUGAGUGAGAAGGUUAGGGAGAAAACCAGAGAAAAUGAAGAUAAGACAAAAGCAAAAGCAAUGGCUGGACCAGGAGUCAUGCAUAAGCUGAUGACUGAUGCCAAGGACCUUUAUUAAGAAGGAUGGCAUCUUAUAUACUAUAUGGCAGGGAGAGGAGAUGGCCAAGGUCAGUAGAGAGCUGAGUCGGACAGUGUUGGCAAAGAGAAGACAGAAUACCUCAGACACCGCUGCCUACGGACUGACAGCCACUGCCCAGGUGGAAGAGUCGGGCCCCGAAGCCAUUUACCUUGACUCUUUUGAGGCACUAGGAUCAGUCAUAUGAGAUCAGACUGGCCAAGUUCGUUCCCUGACGAGGACACAGAACUAAAGUUCCCUUCAUCCCUUCACCAGGGCCUCUGGAGAAAUCUUGGCUCAGACUGGCUCCCUACAGAUACGAUCCCUGGCGAGGUCACUUGUGAGCCCUGCCCUUUUGCUGGUUAGGAAAUCUCAGCCAAAUAUGUACCUUCUGAACUGGGGGAACAUAUUGUUCCCAGUAAGAUUUGGGGUCUUGUUCUCACCAACCAAUGUAACUGGAAUUCACAGGUACAUACGGCUGCUGAUUCCCAGGCUGGGGCCUCGUUUGCAGGGUCAGGAAACUUAAGUCCUGCCAACUAAAGUAAUACUGGGCCUUCUGGUUCCUAAUUCAUUUUCUCUUUCGGUUCAUAUUUAUUUCCCCUGAGAUGUAUUUUACAUAAUUGGGACAAAUGAAAUCUUAAUUUAAAGCUAAGCCUUGAGAAAAAAGUUAAUUUGGUCAACAGCUAAGAAAAAUGUUUAAAAAACAAAGCAAAACAGGAGCGAGGAGAUGGUUCAGCAGUUAAGAGAAUUGGCUGCUCUCAGAGGACCUGGGCUUGGUUCCCAGCACCUACCUGGCUUCAGUCUGUAACUUCAGUUCCAGAGGAUCUUAUGCCCUCUUCCAGCCUGCAUGAUUACUGCAUCCCUUUGGUGCUCAUACAGAUAUCCAGACAAACACUUAUUACUCUAGUUAGCUUUCUGCUGUGAUAAACAACAUGGAGGGAGAAAGGGUUUACUCAGAGGUUAGUCUAUCAAUCACCAAAGCCAAGGCAGGCACUGAAGCAGAGAGAGUGCAGUUUACUGCCUAGCUCCUCCUGGUUUACUCAGUUCCCAUUCUUAUUCAGCUCUGGCCCACCAGCCCAGAGCCGGUACUGCUCACAGCGGGCUGGCCCCUCCCACGUCAAUUAACCAUCAAGAAAAUGCCCCAUAACCACCCCUGCCCUGGGAAACCCAAAGCCAAAAAGACCACAGGACAAAACUGCUAACAAAGGGAAAAGAAGGCCAAAAGGAAAGCAGGCUGAAGGAAAUUUGAGAAGAUCUGCCUACAGAAAACAGCCAGAGAAUGAGAGUCCAUCCUCUGAAGCAGGAGAGAAGCUGUGUCUAACCAUACCCGACUGAUGGUGCGCCCUGCCCCUUGAAUUCCAGAGGAGUGUUUUUAUCAACUGUCUUGUAUUGCAAGUGUUUUUAGUAGUUAUAGAGACAUUUUUAGAAAGGGAGAAAAUCCCAUUUCACCCCCACUCUGUUCUUUUAAUGUAAAAUAUUAAGGGUGAAAUGGACCAGGUAUGGCGGCGCUCACCUUUAAUCCCAGCACUCAGGAAGCAGAGGCAGGUGGAUCUUAGUUCGAGGCCAGCCUGGUCUACAGAGCAAAUUCCAGGACAGGUAGGGCUAUGACUCAGGAAAAAAUAAAAAAGUGAAAUGACUGUUUAUUUUUGGUACCAUCAGCAGGAUACUGAAUCAGGAGAGGCUGUGACUGUCAGUAGAUGUUACACAGAGGGGCCUAGUUUUAUAUCCGAUGAAAAUCUAAAGAUUUAUUUAUUUUAUUUUGUAUAUGAGUACACUGUAGCUGUCUCCAGACACACCAGAAGAGGGCAUCAGAUCUCAUUACAGAUGGUUGUGAGCCACCAUGUGGUUGCUGGGAUUUGAACUCAGGACCUCUGGAAGAGCAGUCGGUGCUCUUUUUUUUUUUUUAUUUAUUUAUUUAUUUAUUAUAUAUGAGUACACUGUAGCUGCCUUUAGACACACCAGACCAGGGCAUCAGAUCUCAUCACAGAUGGUUGUGAGCCACCAUGUGGUUGCUGGGAUUUGAACUCAGGACCUCAGGAAGAACAGUCGGUGCUCUUAACCACUGAGCCAUCUCUCCAGCCCGCAGUCGGUGCUCUUAACCACUGAGCCAUCCGAUGAAAAUCUAAAGCAUGCUAAAUGACGAUUUAGAGUCCAGUCGUGCAUCUGUGUCUGGAAUAUUUUAAGUUACCUUUGCUCUCAUGUCUCUAAUUUCCAACAAAUUCACUACAACCCUGACCUGUCAGGAUUCAUCAUGGUUCUUUUUUGCUAACAUUUUCGGUAAUGUGGGCUGAAAGAUGGAAAUUGAGUAUGUGAGUAACCGGAUGCAGCUGAAAUCAGGGAUCUGUGGUGGUACAGCUUCUGAGUGCUUGACAAUGUGACAUGAGGUCCAGCUGAGGGAACCCUGUCCUCAAGUCCACCCGACUGGAAGAACGUUGAAACAGCAGGUGGGACGUGUGAUCCGAGUUUGGUACAUGUGUUAAGAAUUAUGCAGGGCUGGAGAGGUGGCUCAGCGGUUAAGAGCACUGACUGCUCUUCCAGAGGUCCUGAGUUCAAUUCCCAGCAACCACAUGGUGGCUCACAACCACCUGUAAAGAGAUCUGAUGCCCUCUUCUGGUGUGGCUGAAGACAGCUACAGUGUACUUACAUAUAAUAAAUAAAUAAAUCUAAAAAAAAAAAAGAAUUAUGUAUGUGUGGAGGUGUCUGUGUACUUAUCUUUAACCAAUAAAGCUGAGCUGGGAAAGAGGGAAAAAGAAAGAGAAGAAAAUGCCCCGUUGUAUGGGCAUGUCUAGUUCUGUGUCAGCUUGACACAAGCUAGAGUCAUCAGAGAAGGGAAACUCAGUCGAGAGACUGUCUCAAUAAGAUUAGACAGUAGGCAACCUGUGGAACAUUUUCUUAAUUAUUGAUGUAAGGGCCCAGCCCAUUGCUGGUGCUGCCAUCUCUGGGCUGAUAGUCCUGGGUUCUAUAAGAAAGCAGGCUGAGCAAGCCACGGGAAACAAACCGGUGAGCAGCAUCCCUCUGUGGCCUCUGCAUCAGCUCCUGCCUGCAGGUUCCUGUCCUGCUUGUAUUCCUGCCCUCACAGAUUUGAUAAUGAACUGUUCUAUGGAACAGAGAGUGAAAUAAACCCUUUCCUCUCCAAGUUGCCUUUGGUCAUGAUGUUUCAUCUCAGACCCUAACUAAUACGCCUAUAAAUGUCCCCAUAGGCCAAUCAGGUAGAGGUAAUUUCUCAGUUUAGAUUCCCUCUUCCCACUCAUGUCUAGGCUUGUGUCAAGCUGCAAAAACUAAGCAGCACAAUGAUACACAUAAAAUAAAACAAAUCUUAAAAAUAUCACCAAUCACUGGCAAUUUAACUUCCAGAAUUAUCCCCAGCUAGAUCUACUUUGUGGGACAAAGCAGAUGGCUAGGCACGAUGACACACACCUUUAAUCCUAGUUCCUGGAAGACAGCUAGAUGGGUGAGUUCAAGACCAGCCUGGUCUACAAAGAGAUUUCCAGGUCAGCAAGAGCUACACAGUGAGACUGUUUAAAAUGCAGUCAGAUGCACCCUCUGUCUACACUGUUCUUCCAGACUGGUGUCACUGAUCUUAUAAACCUGGAGGCAAAAAACAACAGAGACAGAGGAGAUAAAAGGACAUUUGACAUCUUGGCCCUCGACCUAAGGUUGGGGUCAAGGACCAGGAAACACGAAGACACCUCAAAAAGGCUCCUGUAGUUCUUACAAGUCACCUGUCCUCUCCAUGAUAGGCCACGGAGACCCCAGAGGUUAGAUAUUAAACAGUCUACCUUGUGCAAAUGUACAAAGAAGGUCAGCGCAAGAAAUUAUCUUCAGUGUUUCCAAGGGGCAUCAGUAAGAACCUUACCUCUCCCAGCAGACAGCUGGGAGAAGAAAGACUAAAGGGCCUAGGGACCUUUUAAGUCAUCCCUCAGGACCCUUGGCUAACCUUAACAGUAAACAAGGAGAUAGCUACUUUUUCUAGCAAGAUGGACCAGCACAUUAAGGCACUUGCCACCAAAGUGAUGACCUGAGUUUGGUCCCUGGAACCAGUAUGGUGGAAGGAAAGAACCAACUCCUACUUACUACCAGCUGUCCCUGGAACUCCAUAGCAUACUGUUCCAGACCCAGCAAGCAGCCGAACUUGGCAACCUUGGCCACAUGGUUUUAGAGUCAAGAACAGAAGAAAGGGGUUAUGGAAUUUCCUUUGAUAGCUAAGGAAAGUCACUGAGGGUAGGUGUGUGGCAGGGGUGUCCCUUCAUGGAGGCCUAGAAAGGUAAAGGUUGUAUGAAGCUAUGAAGGUGAAGCCUGGAUUGCCACGGAGACUGCAAGAGGCUAAAGAUGCCAUUGGAUACCUGCCAAGAAAAUCUAGAUCUGGAACCAGCCCAGGAGAGAGAACUGUGUUGCAGUUAGAGCUGAAAAGAGUUGGAGAUCUGAAGAGCAUUUUGACAUCAGUAUGGAAAUUCAGAGUUUGGAAUUUGCCCAGCUGGGUUUUGGUCUUAUUUUAGUCUUAUGCUCCCUUCCCUACGUUUUGAGAGUGUAAUGUAAAUUCUGUAACAUUAUAUAUUGGAAGUAUGUUAUCUGUUUUGUUAUUUUGAUUUUACAGGGGAUUAAAGUUAAGAGAGUCCAUGAAUCUCAGGGGAGACUUUGUUUUAAAUUUAUUUAUUUUAUGUUUGUGAGUACACUGUAGCUGUCUUCAGACACACCAGAAGAGGGCAUCAGAUCUCAUUACACAUGGUUGUGAGCCACCAGGUGGUUGUUGGGAAUUGAACUCAGGACCUCUGGAAGAGCAGUCAGUGCUUUUAACUGCUGAACCAUCUCUCCAGCCCUCAGAAGAGACUUCGAACGUUGGACUUUCAAACAGUGUUGAGACUAUGAUAGACUAUGGGGAAAUGCAUUUUACAUUAUGUUAUAGUUACAAGCCUAUAGGGAAUAAGGAGUGGAAUGUGGUAGUUUGAAUAGGUAUGGCCCCAUAGGCUCAUGUGUUUGGGUGCUUGGCUCAUAGGGAGUGGCACUGUUAGGAGGCGUGGACUUGUUGGAGUAGGUGGGGCCUUGUUUGAGAAGUGGUAACUGUGGAGGCUGGCUUUGAAAUCUUAUAUAUGCUCAAGCAGGUACACAGCCUCUUCCUGCUGCCUGUGGAUCAAGAUGUAGAACUCUGCUCCUCCAGCACCAUGUCUGUCUGCAGGCCGCCAUUCUUCCCAUCAUGACGACAAUGGACUGAACCUCUGAAAACUGUAAACCAGUCCCAAUUAAAUGUUUUCUUUUAUAAGAGUUGCCUUAGGGGCUGGGGAUUUAGCUCAGUGGUAGAGCGCUUACCUAGGAAGCGCAAGGCCCUGGGUUCGGUCCCCAGCUCCGAAAAAAAGAACCCCCCCCCCCAAAAAAAAUAAGAGUUGCCUUGGUCAUGUUGUCUCCUCACUGCAAUGAAACUCUAAGACGGGAAGUAUUUGUUGUGUCCCACAGUAUGAAGACAGAGCAGCAAGUCAGGAUGGCAGGAGCUGGGGGCAGUUGGUAACAUUGAAUUUAUAGUUGCUACGAUAAACCACUAAAACUGGGGAGGGGGAAGGAUAUGACCAAAUAUGUUCUGUAAAAUAAUAAAAAUAAAAGAAAAACAGACACAUGACCAAGGCAGCUGAUGAAAGUGUUUAAUUGGACUUAGUAUUCUAGAGUCUGUGGUGGCAGAGUAAAGGCACGGUGGCGGGAACAGCUGAGAGCUCACAUCUCAAACCACAGGCAGGAGGCAGACAGAGCUAACUGGGGCUGGCGUGAGUCUGCUGAAACCUCAAAGCCCACUUCCAGUAAUCCUUCUCCUCCAACAAGGCCACGCCACCUAACCCUUCCCAAACAGUUCCUCUGUGGGGACAAAGUAUUCAAGCAUAUGAGCCUGUGGAGGACCUUCUCAUUCCAAAUACCACAUCCCACUCUUCGGCCCCCACAGGCCUGUAGCAAUAUCAUUGUGCAGAAUUUGUUUAGUCCAACUUCAAAAGUUGUUAGGGUGACUUUUUUUUUAUACUUUGUAUGAAGGUGUGUCUCUGUGUUUUUGAUGGUCCUGUACCAGUAGAGGAUUGUGGUGGUGUCAUUUCUAUGGCCAAUCACUGGGUUUUCUCUUUGCCACUGCUCUUCCUUCCUCACCUGCCCAAAGGCAGUCUAGAGAUGUAUCAGGUGUUGUCUCACUGCUGAUUGGUUCUAAUAAAGAUCUGAUGACCAAUAGCUAGGACAGGAAGUGGAGGGAAGACCUUCUGAGCAGAGGAGUGAUGCAGGGGAAGAAAUCAGAUGUGGGAGAUUAGAGAUCAGAAAGGAAGGGGACAAAUGGAUCACAGCUGAGCAGGAGGCACAGAGAUAGCCAUGUGGUGGGUCCAAGAAAGUCCUGCUAUAUCUGACGCCCAACAUAGAGUAUAAAAUCCACUAGAUCCAGGCAUUAGGCCAAAUGUUCUAGAUACAGGGACCAGACAAGAGUACCCAGGCACAGAAGUGGGAGUUAGAACACAGUUUCCUAGCGACUGCAUACUGCUCUGUGAGGUCCAGCUGGCCAGUCUUGCGAACCCGUGAGCAGUGGUGGCAGAGACAAUGAAGAAGUCAAAAGGCAGCUGUGGUGGCAGGGACUGCCAGUGGUGUCCGUGGG